CGGGGAGAUGAUGACUCAACUUGACAAAGACACUGAUGGUUGAAAUUACUUCCCCAAGAUUAACGUGCUUUCUGAUGACUGUGAUGUUUCAAGUACACCUUACAGACAGAUACGAAGCAGACAUCG
Lineus longissimus is the source of this 126-nucleotide non-coding RNA. RefSeq annotates it as small Cajal body-specific RNA 8. The transcript has a single exon. Lineage: Eukaryota; Metazoa; Nemertea; Pilidiophora; Heteronemertea; Lineidae. The record is from RefSeq and is a predicted model, not a curated record.